Molecule: ribosomal RNA, 465 nt
Filed under: Vreelandella stevensii
Lineage: Bacteria; Pseudomonadati; Pseudomonadota; Gammaproteobacteria; Oceanospirillales; Halomonadaceae
Description: partial 16S ribosomal RNA
Rfam family: Bacterial small subunit ribosomal RNA
Source: RNAcentral
CCUACGGGUGGCAGCAGUGGGGAAUAUUGGACAAUGGGCGAAAGCCUGAUCCAGCCAUGCCGCGUGUGUGAAGAAGGCCUUCGGGUUGUAAAGCACUUUCAGCGGGGAAGAAAGCCUUGGGGCUAAUACCCUCGAGGAAGGACAUCACCCACAGAAGAAGCACCGGCUAACUCCGUGCCAGCAGCCGCGGUAAUACGGAGGGUGCGAGCGUUAAUCGGAAUUACUGGGCGUAAAGCGCGCGUAGGCGGUCUGAUAAGCCGGUUGUGAAAGCCCCGGGCUCAACCUGGGAACGGCAUCCGGAACUGUCAGGCUAGAGUGCAGGAGAGGAAGGUAGAAUUCCCGGUGUAGCGGUGAAAUGCGUAGAGAUCGGGAGGAAUACCAGUGGCGAAGGCGGCCUUCUGGACUGACACUGACGCUGAGGUGCGAAAGCGUGGGUAGCAAACAGGAUUAGAUACCCCUGUAGUC